GAUGAACGCUGGCGGCGUGCCUAAUACAUGCAAGUCGAGCGAACAGACGAGGAGCUUGCUCCUCUGACGUUAGCGGCGGACGGGUGAGUAACACGUGGAUAACCUACCUAUAAGACUGGGAUAACUUCGGGAAACCGGAGCUAAUACCGGAUAAUAUAUUGAACCGCAUGGUUCAAUAGUGAAAGACGGUUUUGCUGUCACUUAUAGAUGGAUCCGCGCCGCAUUAGCUAGUUGGUAAGGUAACGGCUUACCAAGGCAACGAUGCGUAGCCGACCUGAGAGGGGGAUCGGCCACACUGGAACGGAGACACGGUCCAGACUCCUACGGGAGGCAGCAGUAGGGAAUCUUCCGCAAUGGGCGAAAGCCUGACGGAGCAACGCCGCGUGAGUGAUGAAGGUCUUCGGAUCGUAAAACUCUGUUAUUAGGGAAGAACAAAUGUGUAAGUAACUAUGCACGUCUUGACGGUACCUAAUCAGAAAGCCACGGCUAACUACGUG
This 497-nucleotide ribosomal RNA is filed under the name uncultured bacterium. RNAcentral's name for it is "partial 16S ribosomal RNA". It matches the Rfam family "Bacterial small subunit ribosomal RNA", at positions 28 to 507 of the family's 1533-position model. The record is from RNAcentral.